UACGUAGGGGGCUAGCGUUGUCCGGAAUCAUUGGGCGUAAAGCGCGUGUAGGCGGUCCGGUAAGUCCGCUGUGAAAGUCGGGGGCUCAACCCUCGGAUGCCGGUGGAUACUGUCGGGCUUGAGUACGGAAGAGGCGAGUGGAAUUCCUGGUGUAGCGGUGAAAUGCGCAGAUAUCAGGAGGAACACCAAUUGCAAAGGCAGCUCGCUGGGACGUUACUGACGCUGAGACGCGAAAGCGUGGGGAGCAAACAGG
Molecule: ribosomal RNA, 253 nt
Filed under: uncultured bacterium
Lineage: Bacteria
Description: partial 16S ribosomal RNA
Rfam family: Bacterial small subunit ribosomal RNA
Source: RNAcentral